UACGGAGGGUGCGAGCGUUGUCCGGAAUCAUUGGGCGUAAAGGGCGCGUAGGUGGCGGGACAAGCGUGCGGUGAAAGCCUGGGGCUCAACCCCGGGUCGGCCGUGCGAACUGUUUUGCUUGAGCACUGUAGAGGCAGGCGGAAUUCCGGGUGUAGCGGUGGAAUGCGUAGAGAUCCGGAAGAACACCGGUGGCGAAGGCGGCCUGCUGGGCAGUAGCUGACACUGAGGCGCGACACGUGGGGAGCAAACAGGG
This 253-nucleotide ribosomal RNA is filed under the name uncultured bacterium. RNAcentral's name for it is "partial 16S ribosomal RNA". It matches the Rfam family "Bacterial small subunit ribosomal RNA", at positions 524 to 777 of the family's 1533-position model. The record is from RNAcentral.